UGAACUCAAGUUAGAAUUGUGGUUUUUGGUUAAAUUCGAUUGCAAACUUUUUGCUAUUAUUAGUGAUACUGGUGCUUACUUUACUAGUCGGAAUAGCUAUUUUUGAAAGAGCCUUUUAGUGCAUUGAAAAAUGCGAUAACUUGACUAUGGAAAAGAUGGAAGUUCAACAGAAGAAUGAUAAUAUGGGCAGGUAUAUUCAAGAAGACAGUUUUAAGGGCUUCAAUAAUGAGAUCAUACAACAAUUUCAGGAUAUGAAGAUCCAUCAAGGAGAACUGAAGGAGUAACAAUUGAGCACCAGGAGAUGUAAUUAAAAGCUUACGUUCUACAUGAAUAAAUGAUAUCUUACACAGUUGAAUUUGGUGGAUAUUUUUUGUCCAGUUUACCAUUUCGACUUAGAAAUACGUCAAUUGUUUCAUUCCAUCUUUCUUUUGAGCAAAACUAUUGGCUCCAUGCCGAAUUUAAAUGACCAGAUAUUCGGCUAACUAGUUAUGCACAACAUGUUAGAUGUCAUUUCACUGUGUCCAUAAAACAAUUGUGAGUAUAUUCAUUACGGUCAGGAUAACAUUCACAUAACUUCGAAUAAUUCAAGCGAACUCUAGAUUGUGAUUUCAGAUGACAGAAAGGCCAGUGAAAUUAAAUCUUGAUCUGAAUUUCCUGAUUAUUUUUUCUUAAUAGAAUCAUAGUGAAUAAGUCCAUUUGUUUUGUUACAACAACAGUUUCAAGAAGGGAAGAAAUCAAUACAGAUAUCAGGACAAUCCAAAGUUACCUCAUAUAUACAACUAUAUUCCUUCCUCCAUAAGUCCAAAUUCUUUAAAAAACAAACCAUAUUCAUAUCUUAACAUCAACACCAAAUUAAGAUAGAUAGAAAAAAAUUCAAGAAAUUCUUUCCUUCUUUCACCACUGUAGCUAAACCGCCACAUGAGAAGUAGAAGGAAGGAUGGUGAAGUGAAUUACCUUAGCGUAAUAGUCCCUCCAGACUCUGCGGGCCAUCCGAUGGCCCCCCAAAUCGAACGCCGUGAACUUGAUCUUCCCGAUCAUCAGUUCUUCUGACGUCGGGAACUGCGUCGGUUGGUGCUGCGCCAACCUCUGCUCCCAAAAAGGGAAAAAAAAAAUAUCAAACCCUUUGACUAAAAACUGUGCUACAAUAGACUAUGUUUUCUUUCUUAUAUAAGAAAACAGAGGAAGAGAAAUCUACUAAAUUAUUAAGGAGGAAAGGAAAGGCAAGAGGAAGAGAAGGGAUGGAGGACUGGACCCGACCUCAUCUUUGAGCAUGUGGAGAAGGGUCGUCUUUCCGGCGUUGUCGAGGCCCAAGAAGAGGAUCUUCGCCUCCUUGGCCGCCAGCCCCAGCAUCGCCAGGAUCCCGUACAGCCACUCCACAAGGAACAUCUCUCUGUCUCUCUCGCUCCCCUCUUUCUUCCUUCCUUCCCCCUCUCUUCACGCACAGUCACCGGGGUUUCUCACGCCUUCUUUUUCUUUGCUCCUUACCCUUUCUUAGCCUCGAAGGCGGUGGUAGCCAGAACAACGAGAGAGCAUCCGAGCUCUCGUUCUUUACGAUAUGGACGAAAAGAUGACGAACUUACGGUCUCGCUUCCGUCUUGUUUUUGUGUCGCUGGGCCGGGUCUGGCUGGGCGGAAUAGGUUGUUCCGGAGGAGCAACAGGUGAAGACUAAAGUGGUGAGUAAGGAAGAAUCCUUAAAAUUGGGCUUUGCUGGGCCAUACAAAGGUCGGUCCACAUUUCUGUUUUACCCAUCCAUUAUUAUUAUUAUUUUUUGUGUGUGUUUUAUGUUGUAUUUCUUGGACUUUGUUAUCAUUUCUACUAGCAAGAUAACCAUGUUAGAUUGAAAUAAGGGUGAGAGAUGGAAGGACAUGAUUAUGAAGAAGUAGAUGCUUCUAUUAGAUCACCCACUUAAUUCAAAGACUGGAUUUACCUUUCCAUGAAAUCAAGGUAUUAUUUUGUGAUAGAAAGUCUAUCAACCUUUCACGAUAUCAAGAAUGACUUUGGUUAGAAAAGAAAAUAAUGGAAACUUGAGGAUGGAAGAAAGGGCAUGACACUAGAGGCAUCAGAACCCAAUCCGAUAUGAAACUCGAGCUUUGCUGAAAACCCAGCCCAACACAACCUUAUAUGGGCUAGCUGGGUCGAGGAUUUUUUCUUGAGUGAAUUGAAUUGGGCAGCUGGUUUGGUAUUGUUACAUCAUUUCACUUGGCUUGGCUGCGCUGGUUUCGAGAAUGGUCGAUCUCUUUCUCCUCCGCUACUAGCUGUGUAGUUAAUACCCAACUCUGAGCCAUGGUGGGUCAAAUCUCAGGUUGGGAUGGAGUGGGUUAUAGAUAGUAGGUUCGAGGUUGGCUUGCGGUGGUUUGACCGGUGUAUGCGUACGGGUUGAAGAUCUGCAACAUCCAGUCAGGAUCGAUUCGAAUGGAUACGUUUCCGGAAGUGGCCCAGGCCCACGCUCAUGAUAUAUAUAUAUAUAUAUAUAUAGGCAUAAAAAAUCUGACAUUGAGUGCACCAUCUCUUCCAAUUGAUUCACGUAGUUAUUAUUUUUUAAUGUAUAUUUAAUAUUUUGUAGAUCGAUUUUUGUAUGACGAAGAUAUCCCUGCCUCAAAUGUCAUAUUUUGACUUUGGAUGUCACAAUAUUACCUCGGAUGUCAUAAUUUUUUCUUAAAGAAUAGAGAUAUUUUUGUCAUUCAAAAUUUUUUAUGACAAAAAUAUUUUUUUUAUAAAAAAUUAUGACAUUCGAGAUCAUAUUUGGCCUCGGAUGUCAUAAUGUGAGAAGGACAUUUUUGUUCAAUUAUUUUUCAAUACGUAUCUAAUGUUCGCAGAUCAACUUUUUUAUUUGAAAAUUUUAAAUGACGGAUGUGCUGUGAAAAAAUUAUAAUAUCCUAUAUGAAUAUUAUAAUAUCCCGCAAGUCGAAUGUCAUAAUUUAUUACAAAAAAUAGUAGUAUUUUCAUCAUAUAAAAUUUUUAAAUAAAAAAAUUGAUCUGUAAGUAUUAAAUGUGCAUUAGAAAGUAAAGACUAUAUGGGCCAAUCGAAUGAGACAGUGCAUUCUACGUCGGAUUUUCUAUACUGCUCGUGGUAUGGAAAGAAUUUCUCUCUCUCUCUAUAUAUAUAUAUAUAGUCUCGGUUUAGACGGGGCUAUGUUUUCAAGCUGAUUUCCAAAUCAAGCCUACUUUUUCACCCAGCUCGAUCAAAGGCCUAUUUUUAGUGCCCAAGCCCAUUAAAUUUCGGGCAGGGUUGGAUAGGCCCCCCUGGCCCAUAAUUUGCUCUCAGAAUUUCUCCUAACCGCAUAUACGCCAUUAAAUGACUCCUACAUAUACAACUAUUCCAGAUUUGGAUAUUGCAAAACCGAGAGCAAGUUUAUCGGCGCCAGCUUGAUUUGUAGAAUUAGGUUAUAGCCAUAAAAUUUAACAAACAAGCAACGUUAGUACAGCUUCCAUAGCUUCGCCAUAUAUUCCCUAUCCAACCUCCAAGCCAAGUGAUUUGAGAUGCGCUAGAUCCCUAACCUGUUACUACGUUUAAUAGAAGUAAUCCCACUUAGUUUUCUAUUAUGAUAUCUAUGCUAGAGCUCUUGAUUUGCUUGUAUACAUGAAAAAUCCUCCUCUAGCGUAAGUUUGAACUCUUUUUACAUCACUUAGUCAAAUGCCACUAUAUCUACGGUUUUUAAGAAAGGAUGAUAAGACCAAUAAGAUUUCAUUUAAAUAAUAAAAUGUCACAAAAAAAAAGGAAGAUAGAUAGAAUAACCAAAGGAUGGCGUUAAGGGGGGAAACAAAAAAGCUCCCUCAAUGGGCUAGAUUAUAUGAGCUGCUAUUCCAGAAAUUUUUGGUUGCAAAAGGAAUUUCUAUUGGAUGCCUUUGUGCUACCGUCAUCGAAAUGUCUCCAUAAAAAUGUUUAAUUUGUUGCAUGAGCUUCAAGUGCGCUCUUUGUAAUAUUUUUUCCAUUUCUUUCAUUUUCUUCUUUUAUGUUAGGAAAAUAAGAGUGCCACUAAUCAUUUCAAGAGAAAUGAUGAAAAUGCUACAUAUAUAUACCUCAAUUUUUAAACCUUCUCUAUUUGAACACAGUGCAACUUGCCUUGUCGUAAUGAUCCGAAACAAUCCUUUUGCUAUCCGAAACAAUCCUUUUCCAAUCCAAAACAAUCCCUCUCUUGUAGUGAUCCACAACGAAAUUAACCUAUCCCUCUCUUAGUGAUCCAAAACAAUCUUUUUCCUCAUGUGGAUACAAACUACGACAGGACAUGUUUUUGUCACAUAACCAUGGCAUUAUCUGCGCCAAGUACUCCAGAAAACAGCACCCAAGAAUCAAGCAUCAAAACUCCAUUAUUCCAACAAGUGAUACAACUGCUGAGCUACAGCCCAGCUUGCCGGUGUUCUUCUUUCGAUGGUCCAACACAGACAGUCCUUUUUUUCACGUAGGUGAAGUCGUAACCAAGAUAGCAUGCAGCUGUUUCACAUGAACCGUGACAGUGGCUUUCCCAGAUCUCAUCACACCGAACUUCUUUAUAAAUAUCGUGUCCCCAGGUAACAUGGGAUGGUUUCUGACAUAAAUCCUCGGUCCACUAAUAAUUGAGCAUGCCUGAAGGUCUUGCCAAGCGCACUGGACCCCUUCUAUAACAUCAACAUAGCCUUUAGCUGUUUCUAAAUCGCCAUGACUCAUAAGAGACUUAUUUACUGGGAGCAAGUACAUGCAUCGGUCUCCAUAGUAACUGACCCUUAAGUACCCAUCUGCAUGCUUCCAUGACACUUACCAAACCUGACACAUAUUAUCCCGUUAAACACAAGCCACGGACGAUAAAGUGCCAACUUUGCAUGCAGUACGUGUAAUAUAUUUCUACGAUCUCGUAACAGAUUCCUGGAUACUAAAACCACUUGCUGCUGGUGGUGAAGCACUGUGUUGUCCCUACAACCCUGCAAGUGUUGCUAUAUCCAACCUGACAUGAUAAAGCACGGAUAGCAUGCUCAUUUUAUUUUAAGAUUCGCCAACCAUCAUGGGUAGUUGGAGCAUUGAUGCUUAUUAACGCCUGGGCUACUGCAUCUUGCCCACGUCCUGUGCAUUCACGAGUUCAUGUAAUGGUAAUAAUGGCGAUCACCAUGAAUGGUCCUGCAGCUAUAACGUUAGGACUGACAUUACUACACAGGAGUGUCCCACAACUUUGAGUCUCGAUCGGGUGCAAUCCAGUAGGCUGAUUAAUAUACGGAUGGUAAAGUAGCUCGAGCCAAGAGCACGGUCAACUAGCUAGGUUACAGUCAUACUGACGGCCUACCUCCGGGCUUCGCCAGUCCGCGGACUCUGCACAUUCUGAGGCACAUUCAAGCACAGCCCUUGCGCAUCUCGGAGCGGUAAAGACGUCUGGCUCAUGAGUCCGUACGUAGGAUCCACAAAAGCCACCAUGAAUGACGAGCUCCAUAAACGCUUAUGAGGCGUUCUCUGAAAACGAGGAGAUGAUGGCAUUGAUUGGCAAAAUGAUGAUGAACGCGUGCAAAUUUGGGCCCAGAAGAGAAUUCAUCCAUGUGGUUAUUGCUAACACCGACUAGUGGCCGAUCCCCCGAAGUUGCACGGCCUGAUUUAAUUUGCAUCGCUUUGGGUUCCGUUAGAGGUCCGAAUGAGCUAAACAGCUUGCGAGUUGGUCAUACAUCCAAACUCAAUCCGAUUUGAUUAAUUCGAAUAACAAAAUAUUUGAUUUAAUAAUAUAUAUAUAUAUAUAUUAUUAUUUAAAAAAUAUAAUAUUUAUAUAUUUUUAAUUUAAUAUCAUUUUAAAUUUUAAUUAUAUUUUUUAAUUAUGAUAAAAAUUUGAAUUCGAGCUCAAACUUAAACUUGAGUGAAUGAUUGGAUUGAUUUUUAUAUCCACCUAUCGACUUCGAGUAUUGCAUUUUUUUUAUCUAAUCGAAUUUGAGUUGAGACAUUAAAAUCCGAUGGACUUUGAUUUUAAAUAUUUUGAAUCAAAUCGUAUUCGAAUCUCUAGCCAUCCAGUUUGACUCAGCUAUAUUAUAUGUCUAAUCCACGUGGUAACAUUGGCAUGGUGAAUGCCCCACUUUCAUCGUUUUCUUCUUUUCUCUAAUGACCAUGCUCAAAUUUUUAGGUUGCAUUUGAUGCAUCGCGAGAUAAUCUUAAAAGAUAAUAUAGAUUAUCCUCCAGAUAGAUUGUCACCAUUAAAUUAUUAGCAAUAUUGAUUACUAUAUUUGAUACACGCAGAUAAUACUAUAAUAAAAUCAUUGAAAAUUUUAAUUGGUACGUUUGAUAUGAUAAUUAAAUUACUAAUAAUGUAAAAUCAAAUUUUUAAAAUAUUUCUAAAUCAAACUCCUAUGUUUGAUGCAAAUAAAGAUUGUAGUGGCCCUUGUCCAAUCCAAUAACGAUAUGUACACGAAAGUAAACCUGGCAUCUUGAACACAGCUAAAAUUUUGGUUUGGCGCUCCCCCUUUGAGGACAACCCCACCGCCGACCACCAUCCGCUGAUCAGAUCCAACUGCAGGCAAGCCUCACACUCGUCAUGGACAAGAAGGAACACCUCCAUCGUCCAGUUUAUGGGACCUUUGAACGAAAUUGUAGACACAGACAGAGAUGGAGGGAGAAGAAAGUUGUAGGGAUCCUAGAUCCAGAUGAAAGGAUCAAGGAAGGGAGGGGUGCUAGCAACGGAGAGCUGGGGGAGAGCGGAGAAGCAACAGCAAAGCAUGGGAUGACCUCGGGCUCUUGCUCGAAGAUCUUCUUCUUGUAGGUCUUCGAGUUUUAUGAGGAGAUUGUGAUUCUCAUCAUUAUUAUUGUCGUUGUUACCAUCUUUACGAUCAAGGGAGGAAUGAGAGGAAUUCAUUGAGAUAAAAGGAGGGUCCCAGAUCCGGAUGGAGGGGCCAAUGAGGUGUGAAAUGCCAGCAGUUAAGAGUUGAGAGGAGGGAAGAGAGGCAAUAGUGUGACAUCAUAUGGAAGGAUCUCAGGCUCUUGCUCUAAAAUUUUUUCUUAGAGGUUUUGGAGUUCACGAGGAGCCUACACUCUUCUUUGUCAUCGUCACCAUUUUCAUGGCCGUGGGAGGAAUAGAAGUUCAUUGGGAUAGGGGGAGAGGGAGAUAGUGAUGGGGCUACUUUCCAUCGAUAGUGCUACCACGAUCGGAGAGAAAAAUUUUGUGUGAUUUUUUUUUAAAAAUAAUUUUAUCCAAAUUUUUUUUAUAAUAUUAUUAAAAAAAUAACAAUCUAGAUGGUCAUCUUUUUUUCAAUACUAUCUGAAUUAUCUUUUAAAAAAUAAUAUAGAUUGCUAAGAUAAUCUGUAUUGUCGUUCAAAAAAAAUAUUAAAUAUAAUUAUCUGAUAAAAUUAUUUUAAAUUAUUGAUAAUCUGAGAAGAUUAUCACCCACCAAACACAAUCUCAGGCUUUUCAGCAUUCUUUCGUCUGUAGUCAUGUUUUAGUUCUAGAGUUAUCAGACACAACAAACUAUGCCGCUAUAAUGAGAACAGCAACGCGUUGAAAGCAACAACUUGAAUCCGAUUUGGAGUCGUUGGUUCAUUAACUCCAGCACUCAAUGACUCAUCUGGCUGGAGCCAGAUGGUAUCACCAAGGCAUAGCCCAAUCUCGCAAGCCGCUUGUCACAAUCAGUGAACGGCCCAGAUUUCUUUACCCAAAAAAAAAGGCCCAGAUUUCGAGGGUAUGAUGAAUUGGGCGUUAUAUAGGUGGUAGGGAGAAAAUUUAAAAAAUAUUGCAAACCGUGGAGGCAGAUGAGAGAAAGGCGACGAACAGAAGCGGCCAAAAGGGAAACAAAAGCCAAGGGGAAGCUCUGGGUUGCCGCUUUAUGACGUCCGGGUGGGAAAAGUAGUUUGGAGUUUUGGAAGGAUGAAACCCGCUUUUUAUGCAUAAGCUUUGCCUUAUUUUUAACUUUCUUUCUGUUGGCUUCGCAACGUCUCGCCUUUGGGACCGCAGGAACAAAAAAAAAAAAAAAGCUAAUGCGGCCAAAAAGACUGUACCAGACCUGGUCGAUUCGGACGCUGAUUUGUAUACGAUCACUAUAAUCUUUUCUCAGGCUAGUCGUGGAUUCUUCGCCGAAUACCUCCCCUGCUGUUAACUAGUAUUAGUAGCUUAGAAGUUUAAGAUGAUGGUGAGCGGUUCUCAGUGCUCACAACCAGUGCCCUCCAACCUUAUCAUAAUUACGGAACAUGAUGUUCCAGUGACCCGUCUCUGAUACACCGUAUUAUUGUUGUGUUUCAGUUGAUGGACGGUGUGGGUUGAUACGGCUUCUGCAAGGGGAUCUUCGCAUCGUCACAUCAAAAAGAUCAGACGGCGCAUGUCGGGGGAUCAACAUACUCAUUGGCCGUAUCGCCUCACGGGUACUUCACAAACACCGGUGGGUGCAGCGGCAUCUGACGGUGAUUGGACGGGUGGCUUUUCUUCGUUCUCUUAUUUGUAAAGAAGUGUAUGUAUACACUUUUUUCAUCACGAUCUUACCCCAACCAAAGAAGGAAAAAAAGAAAAAAAAAACGAAAGUGCAUGUAUACAAACACAGGCCGACAGACGUAGGAUCCUUCUUCACGAGCUUCGGCUAGUAAUUAGUAGGUUUAGACACGUAAUCAAACAAAGCCGUGUACUUGAAUGCACGUUUAAUUUGAAAGCAGAAGUUUUAUAAUUGGGGUUAUUUAUAAAAUCACGGACACCGCCCGCCAUUAACGGCACCGUACAAUUUGUGCGGCAGACCACUGAUAUGGUGGCAUUUCCGUUAUUUAGUCUGAAACUAUGGGCGAGUAGUUAACACAUCCUUCAUAAACAUCUCGCACCGAGCUACUCUACUAGGCCGCUGCUACUUACUUUCUGUCAUCUCGUGGUUCCGAAAAAGGAGUCAUCAUCACCUACCUCUCUCUCUCUCUCUCCCCCUCUCGAAAGGGAGAUUGGGCGGCGGGGGCGGUGGAUUCCGGCGAUGUGGUGAGAUUCCGGCGGGAUCACGUCAGAUUUCCGGCGAUGUCGACUGCCGAGAGGAGUAGACGGACCGUCGCGUGCUUGGCUGUAGUCCUGUUGAGCGUCUGGCUUCUGCACGGAUUUGUGUGCUUCAACUGUCGAUCGAUGGCACUUCGGAUAUUCCCAGUGAACUCCGGUGGUAAAAGUAAGGGGGCACCAAUCAUCGGGCGGAGGCCCAUCCCUCUCCGUCCCUCGGCGGCGGCGGCGGCGGCGGCGGCGGGUGGUAUUCAUGACAGCAAGCGGGUGGUGCCCAGCUGCCCCGACCCGCUGCACAACCGGUAACCAUAUCUCUCUACCAGAAUGUCGCUGUCUUUUUCCUACAACUACGGAUUAAAUGGGGAGGUCUUUUGUUGUUUUCCUUUUCAACUUUUUUUUUUAUGCGUAUGUAUAGACGAUGAAGGGAGGAAGAGGAGGAGGCUUUGUAUUAGUAGAAUCUCCUGCAUUUGUAAUUUAAUUUGUUCUUAAAUCAAUGCUGUUACCUUACUAGAAAUGUAACUAAGAGAGGAGAUUCUUGGCAUACAGAGUCUAGUCUUGUUUAAGGUCUGAGAGAAAAACUUGCGGAAAUAAAAUCAUAUAUUUUGUUCUAUGAUACAUCUCCACUUCUAAAAUUUCUCUCUUCUCAUCUGUUGUUUUAUUAGCAAAAAGGAAGGGGAGAAAAAACGAUUCCCAAUAUAAGGAUAUGUUAAGAAUCACACAAACUGGUAUGGUAUAGAAGGAUAUGCACUUAACCAGAAAAAACAAGAAAUUUCAUUUCUGAAAUCUCUCUCUCUCUCCCUCUCUCUAUCUAUCUAUCUAUCUCUAUCUCUCUCUCUUUCCUGUUUUUUAUUUCAGUUCUAUCUUCUUGUAUUCUGAUAUCAAGGGUUUAGAAGUUUUGGGGCGUGGUAUAUUUACCAAACCAAGCAAGUAACUACCGGCUACCAGACUAGAAAUAGAAAAAGGUCUAAAGACUUGACAUAACUGAACGUCCGCAUAGGGGCGUAUGUAUGGCAGAUCUGUGUCGUUGACCGUGUAGAGCAGGCUGUUCGGAUUUGGAAGAUGAUAAUUAAUUACCAACCUUCCUCUUCUUCUUUUUAUCACUUAACAUGAAACAUUUCCACCAUAUUUUGUGAAAUUUGAGAUAGAUUAUAGAUCUUAUAAAUAUACGACCCAGUCAAGCGGUCAAAUCGAGUUACCAUGACGUAGGUUUAUGUUCGGAUACUUUUGUCACUAAUGGAAAGGAAAGGGGUAUUUAAGUCAUCCAAGCGUCGUCGUCUGGGUCGAGAUAUCGGGCAGGCUGGAAGUUGGAGGGUGACGCCAUAAUUCUCCAGCCAUGUUCCUAUGUGACAUUUCCCUUCCCUAUCCUGUAACGACCGUAUUUCAAAACCUAUGCGAGCUGAUGAUCUGCAAUCCAAUGGGCAUCAGUGGAUGAUCUGGACGGUAGAUCUGAAUCCGCAUAAGAAUUAUGCUAAUACGGUUUUGGAUUAGCUGGCGACAAGCGGCGGUGAGAGGAGGUUUGUCGGCUAGCGGUUUGGAUGGGAAUCUCAUUGACCUGCAGCUCACCACCUCAACUUUGUUGCAUUCAUUAAAUAUUAUUGGGUCGAUAUGACUCAUAGAAGAUUAAGAUAUUUCUGGUUUUUAAUUUAAUUGUUAUCCAAACCUCUCUUCACGUCGUUCAAAAAGGCUAUUAGUCCGAGUUCUCCUACUGCACUUCAGUGGUCAUGUGAAUUUGCUUUUGCUCUCCUUGAUGGAAUCAAAUUUGACCUGGUGUGAAAUCCGUGGUGGUGUUAUUGGUGCUAAGACUGGAGUUCUGGUUUUUUUGAUGAAAAUGGAAGAAGCCUCGGGCUUCCAUCAGAAUUUGUUACGAGCUUAGCUAAUUACAAAAGAAGUGGAAUGUUCGUAAAAGCAAGUUCAAAAACCUCCAACUCAAUUUGUAAACUGGAAACAUAAAAUAAUAUUCCUCUUUACAAUUGAGAGAGAGAAAUAAGUGUUCUACUUAAUUAGCUUCAGAUGAUCUUCUUCACGAGUCCAUUUACAUAGAAUCUAGAUAUUUUUUAACGCAGUUGAAACAUUUCUCAUCUUGUUCCAAAUCUUUGCAAAAAGAGGUAGUAGCUUAUGAAUACACAGGAUAGACCAUUUGUUGAACAAGAUGAAUCUUUUCAUAGCAGUGGAGUGGAUAAACUGGAGUUCUAUUGCUCCUUCAGUUUUUGUUUUCUAAUUUUCAGAUUUAAAGCAAGUUUUCUUGUAAUUUUCUCAUCCAAAAUACUCUUAAAGGCUUUACUCACUCAAAUUUCUAAAAUUCCAAAAGGGCAACUUAUUUUGCUAGUGAUAGAAAUAAGAUCAUUUCUCAAUUGUAAAAUAAGUCCACAGGUUGAGAAGGCUGCUCGUACUCUAUCUUGUAAGAUGAAGAAUGAUAAUAUUCUUUUGAAAGCCUGAAGAAAUCGACUCCAAGUUUGUAACUGUACUAAAUAUACAUAAUCAUCAAGUGAAGAAUGUAGAAGUAAUUCAUCAUUAUGUGUAAAGAAACUGAGAAGUUCUGAGGGAUUUGUCAGAAGGAAACUCGAAGCCAUUAGAAUUUAAAGCACAAAAGAGAGAAGUUCUAUUUUUGUCCUUAUAUGAUUAUAUCUCCGUCAAGACUCUUCCUCUAAAUCUUUUUGUAUGCAUCCCACAGGGUAUCAUGGGGAUGAUCCUGUAAAGUCAUCAAUAACUGCCAAAUUUGCCCAGGACAAAAAUGUUUCAAGCAUUAAGUUCGUGACAGGGGAGAAGCAAUGAUUAAUUAAAAGAAAAGCACAAGCAAAAUUAUUAUAAUGGUCAGAAGGACACAAAAAUAAACAAUAAUAAAAACGAUGAAAUAAAAUAUAGUUGCAGUUGAAUGGAAAGAGGCUCUGUCUUUCAACUUUUUCAAAUUAGUUUAGUUGAUUUAUGUCGUAAUUACAAGCUCAGCACCUAGAUAUACUUUCGCUGGAGAAGAUGAUUCAGAUGUGAUUCAAUAAAAAAGUUUAGAAGGAGUUCAGGCAGUUAAAAUUCAAAAUUAAAAUUAUAACUUGAAAAAUAUGAAUCUUAAUGAAGCUAGAAAUUUUUAAAAUAGAAUAAAUUAAUAAAAUUUUUUCAAUAAAAUUUUAACUUAAAAAUAGCUCUCCAUUUAAAUUUCAAAUAAAAGUAGCUUCCCGUUACAAAUAUAAAUUAAAAAUAAUUUUUCAAAUAAUAUGAAAUGACCGAAUUACCUCUACAGCUAAAAUAAUACUAUGAUGUUAUAAAAUAGUACUACUUUAUUGUAAUAUUGCACUAAUAUAAUAUAAUACUGUACUAUUAUAAAAUAAUAUUAUCGUAUUAUAAAACGAUACUUCUUUAUUGUUAUGUAAUACCGUUUUAUUGUAAAAAAAUAUCAUCUUAUUGUAAUACUGUAAUAAUAUAAUGUAAUGUAAUACUGCCUUAUUGUAAUGUAAUAUUGCUUUAUUAUACUAGCACAGUAUUACAAUAAGACGGUAUUCUUUUACAAUAAGAUAGUAUUACAUCACAAUGAGACAGUACUGUUUCAUAAUAUCAUAAUAUUAUUUUAAUGUUACUUUAUAAUUAUAAAAAUAAUUCGAUCAUUUCAUACCAAAAUGAAAAAUUACUUUUAAUUUAUGUUUGGAAUGAAGAACUAUUUUUAUAUAAAACUCAACUAGAGAACUGCUUUUAAUUUAAAACUAGAACUAGAGAUUUUUCAUUAGUUUACCAUUUAAAAUAUCACUAAACUUGUUUAUUUAAAAAUAAGUAGAGAAAAAAAAAGAAUAAUAAAAGAUAGAAAAAAAUAUCACAGCCGCCAACCAUAUAUGGGCCAUUAAACAUAUAAAAUUUUCUUAAAUUAGUGAUGAAUAAUUUGUGAACAAAUUGUAAAUUUCAUAUAUAAUUUGAGUAAAAUUGCAUAGUUCAAGAUUCACUUAUUUUUGGAGAAUUAUUUGAUCAUUAGAGAAAUCGAGAAUAUUUCAUGAUUUUAAAUAAUUUAAAAAUUUUAUAGCUGUGAUUUUGUGUUAAUAAUUUUGCACAAUUGGGAAUUGCUCUCCUCCAAAGAUUGUUAAGCUCUUAAUUAAAAUCCAAUAACAGAUAGAAUUCAAUCUACCAUGACUUUGUAUAAUCAUUCAACAUUUUACGAGCUUGAAUCACAAUAAUUAUGAUAAAGUGCAACCGAUAAGUUACAUUAUAGCUUACUAAAUGGCCGAUCAUGCACGUGGGGCAUAAUUUCUCCAAACAAACACAAUAAAUACAUAAAUCUCUGGUAAUAUUUAUUCUUGUCCUAUAUGUCAGGAAGGAGAUGGGGACGCAGCUAAUAUUUUCAAUAAUUUCUUGAAAAUAUUUUUUAAUUAAAAAUAUUAUUAAAAAAUAUUUUGAAAUAUUUAUUUUUAUAAAAUAUUUUUAAUUUAAAAAAAUAUUUUACAAAGUCCAGAAAGCGUUUAAACAGAAACAAGAAAAAUGAAGCAUGCCUAAUAAAAAGUGCCGGAAAAAGAAAAAAAAAAGAAAGAAAAAAAAAAGAACUCAUCCCAUGGAUGCAAAAUCCACAGCUGAGAGCCACCAGGUUGUCCAAGCACGGCCCCUGCACAUGCCACAAGGGCGCACCCGCCCGCAGGCCGAUGCCCGCGCAUCGCGCGGGGAUAUCAGAACCCGUACUCCUCCUCGUGCUGUCCGUUUCCUUCUCCCCCAAUCCACCACGUCAAUUCAUCUGUUCCCCGCCCAUCCAAGAGUCCCCUCUCUCCCCCCACCCCACCCACCCUUAGUUUCCCAGACCGAAAUAUACUUCGUAGCCCAACCACAUUACCAACAAUCGGUCUAUCCUCCGUGUCGAAUGAUGGUUGGCAUCUCACGCCAUGGUGACCCCACCGGCCUCCUCAACUUCACCAAUUUCCUCAUGCCGUAUGGCAUAGAAGUCACGUUUAGCACCUUAGCUUGGCACCAUAGGGUUCACGUUGGGACACAGGCCCGUGACGACUCCGCACACUGCGGCGGGUCCGAGUACCCCAGCUCCACGUAGCCUCGCUGGCUUUGGACGACUUCGGCACAGCCACAGCGCUGUACGGCAAGUUAUUUUUCUUCUAUUUUUAAGCAACCAUUGGAUCUAUCUAAGAAUCGCAGACCUAACACUGCUUGAAACUAGAGGCUGAGGAGUUCUCGCCUCUCCCAGGUGGCCGCAGGCUUUCUAAUGUUCCGUGUUUUUUUUAAAGGAUUGUCCACCAUGGUCGUGCCAAGUUGGUCCUUUGGUGUUGGGAGUGGCCGGCACGCCAUUAAAGACUCGUGUGAAAGUUUGAGCCUUUGAGGCUACCUAGCUUACCUGGUCGGCGCUGUGGCUUUCCUGGGACUGGUUCUAUUCAAUGAUGAUGGCAGUAGAUGCAGAAGAUGCUUGUUGAUUAGAGGCACUGAUUUCAUUCCUUGGAUUGCUGCCUAACGGAAAGGAAGUAAAUAUUGCGAGUUCAUAAUUGGAUUGUUCAGCUGCAGCUAUAAAAUUAUCUAAUUGUAGGAGAGGGACAAGAAAAGGGACGGGCGAACUUGCUUGGUGGUAGCAUGCAUUAAAAGUCCUGUACCUUGCUUGAACUAUACACCAAGCAUGAGAUAUAACACUGAUCGAUAUGAAUGCUUCGUCUUUUGAAGUAAAGAGAAGAAGAAGGUUAUCUCACCCGCAAGAGUAUUGGUUUUGUAAGAUUUGAUCGAUAAUUCAACCUGAAACAACUUACUUAGAGAACUCUUAUAUCAUCAAGCUGAAGCUGUGAGAAGUUGGGCCUUCGAAUGAAUUCACUCCUAAAAGUAAAUGUUAAAAUUUGAAAUGUGGCCAUAGAUGCGGAGACACAAACCUACUCGCAAUAACUACCACUAUUAAUGUAUUAUCACACAAAGGUCCACCACUUUCUCUCAUGAAAAUUUAUUGACAAUGGUACGUACUGAUACUACACCUACCCUGGCCUCUUAAAAUAGAAAGGUAGAUUUAUCUGUUGACCUUCAACCUUUUUCUUCUUACCUUUUUCUUGAUCUAAAAUCUUCGUUCACCCUUUUAUCUUAGGAUAACAACAAAUUACAGCCUUGAACUGUACAUUUCUGCUUAAACAAGCUAACAUGCGGGAAUAUGCAUGCAUAGUUACCAUUUAGUCAUAUUGACGGCUUGUAAUUUUUGUGAAGUGGCAUUUUUCCCACCCAGAUGAUAGCUCUUUAGCUGACGUUUUCUAAAAUCUUAAUCUUAAAUAUUUUUUUCAAUUUUGAGAUCUUAAGUUAGAUAUAUGCAUGUUUUAUUUUUUUUUUGGUCAAGAAAAGCUCAAUUUAAGUUGUAUCAAGGAUUUUUUGCAUAAUCAUCCGUAUAUUUUUUUUAAUAUUGUCGAAAAAUGGUACCUUGCAGAUGGUUGCAGUAUGGUCCUUAUGUUUCUUGAAAAUAUGUAAAUUAAUCAUCAUGCAUUGCUCUGUCAGCGUAUGUAGGAAUCAAACUCAAUGCGCUCUAAUUCUAACAUAAUAUACAGAAAUACUAGCUCAACAUCUCCUGACUAUGUUACCUUGAACACUUGUACAGGCAUUUUAAGAAGUAACUUGAUACUAUAUAUCCAAGGGCUUAUGGGAUACCUUUAAUGGAAUGUCAGACUGAUGCAUCAUAACUAAAAUGUUUAGAUUUUUCCUUAAUAUAGAAACGAAGGAGGAAGUUAUGCAUAAACACGUACUAAACCUCCAACUAGAAUGUUGCUAUAUCAAGUCAAGCUUUCAUCUAAGGCUCCACGUAAUCAAGCUAUUCAUGAAAAGACUCUGCUCAGCUUGAUAAUAAGCUCAUUCAAACUAGUGCAAUUAGGAAAUUAACAAAGCUUCAACCUCAUUUUACAGCUUGAUGAAUAAACAAACCAAUGCCAAACGCUCUAGGCUCUAAAAGUGGUGAAAAGUCGAGCUCGUAUCUAUAAAUUGCUUGUUCGAGCUCAUUGAUAGGAGAUAAAUCAAUGUUAAAUAUGUUUAAUUUCAGUUUAAGCUUGAUUACCCUUGUCAGUUACCAAGCCAAGCUUGAGCAGCCCAAAUCUUGGUUCAAACAAGCUCAUUUCCUCUUUUUUUUUUGAAGUGACAAAAUUAAGCUAGCCAAGUAAGAUUAUUCGAAGAACAUAUGCAUAGUAUAUGAUAAAAAGUUUUGCAGAGAAAUCCACAACUUUCUAGUUUUUGCGGAAACAAGCGCAUACUAUAUACUAGUAUUUGUGUACUUGAUGCUAGAACUGAUGCAUCGUGUAUCAUUACAUAGAGAUGUCGAAAUUAGUGCACAUAGCUUGCAUGAGUACAAAUGCUGAAAAAAUGGCGGAUCACCAUGGUUGGUUCUCCCUCAAAGAAGGCUAACAAGCCUAGGAAACUAGCUAAUGAGACAGCAGCUAUAGAUGGCUGGGAGCUAUAGAUGGCUGGGAGCCAAUCUGCGUAACCUAGUUCCCUGCAGCGUCUCUCCCGCGGCAGAAGUUAGAGAAGUGAAGCACGGAAAAAGAUAGGGUGAUUGUUGCGGCCAAUCUCCUCGUCGUCUGGUCGCCGAGAACGAGCGUCUGCAAAAAAAAUCCGCACUGACCGGAGGUGACUCCGACGGAAAUCCUCCGACGGUCAAGUCAGAGAGGAGACUAGGCAACAGUAAACAAAAAUCAAGAAACUCGACGAGAGAGGGUGAGAGCGAGAGCUAGAGAGCUAGAGAGGAGGAGGAAUUCAAGGGUUUCGAAAAGACCUCCUCAGCACUGUUGCCUUCCCCGAUAUAUAUAGUGGAGCGCGGUAUGGCCUCAUCAUUAAUGGCGCAGACAAUGGAAGAAUUGUCAAAUCGCCGAGGACUGUCAGAGCCACCGUGAGGUUGUCAAAUCGUCGUGGGGCUGUCAAAUCGCUAGGGUUGACCCAUGCCUUAAGUGGAAUAAUGCCCCAAGGCGGCUAUGCCGCAUGCCGGUGUCAGGACUGGCAGCCUCCUGCAGUCGUACGGUGUUUGGAGGAGCCGACCGACUAUAGGUCGGUUGCUGGUUGAGGGACGUCGGGCGGAAGCCCGGGGAACCUCCGGCAGUCUGUCGGGCGCAUUGUGGGAGUCAGGCAUCGGGCUUCAUAGUCUGGCCGAUCGAGAGCGAAGAAGGUUUGCCCGACCUACGUAUACUCGGUCGGUCGGCGACGGCAGCCGUCGGUCGGCAGAGUCGGGCGUCGGUCAUGUAGGCCCGACGGUGAGUCGGCGUGAGUGGGGUCGGUCGGUAUACCCCAACAGUUGCCCCCCUCCACUCCUGAGUCGGAUGGUGCGCGGGCUAAUGUCUUUGUAUGGGCGGCAGCGUCGGGCGAAAGGAGUGGAAUCCCAUCGCAUUAAGUCCCGAUUCUGAUGACCGCACCGCUGGCUGAUCCGGUGUCAGGCACCUCAUGAGUGCCAGUCGAUUCGCCGGUGUCAGACGUCCCAUCGGUGUCAGAUGUCCUGUCGAUGUCAGAUGUUCCAUCCCAUCGACGUCAGACGUCCCGUCUUGUUGGGAAUGGAAACCGUCGUUCCCGUCGCCCCUUCGGGGAUGCGAAACAUCACGACCUUUUCGCCACAUGGCAGGUGGCCAUUAGGCCGGGUCUGUUCGAGCGGAUGGAGGUGACGUGGCUCGAUCUGAGGAUGGGUGCGUCGAACCGUCGGGCCGAAAGAUGGCCCGAAUGUCAUCACGUGGCGCGAUCUGGGAGUUCCUCGUUGGUCGUGCUUCCAUCUCGAUCGUCGGGGGGCACUAUAUAUACAAGGUCGCCUGCAUCCAAAUUUCUACUUUCCCCAUUUGCUGUCGAAACUCUGCCCGUGCGGUCCCCAGCUCCAGGUAACCGUCUCCAUUUCUCCCCUCUUUGGAGGUCCUUUUUCUUUUCCUAGGGGCCUGCCCCCGUUGCCCGUCUUCUUCCCAUUCUCUGCCCUCUGUUCUGGUUCAUGGCUAGAACAUCUCCAAGAGGAGGUCGGUCGGGGGAUCCGACUGACGAUCCUCGGUAGACCCCGGAGGUGGAGGUCUCUUCACUUUCGGGGCCGAACAUCGAACGGCUCCGGGAGCAAUAUGGCAUCCCGAAGCAAUUUCGACUGUUCGCCCCUGGUGCCAACGGUCGGGUCAACAGCUCGCCCGAGGACCAGGUGGCCUUCUACAUCGAGGACCUCCGGGCUGGUCUUCGCUUUUCGGUCCCGAAGUUCGUCCGGAACGUUCUGGACUAUUACGGACUAUGUCCGGCAUAACUUGCGCCGAACUCGGUUCGGCUAAUAGUCAGUUUUGCCCUGCUGUGUCGGAUUUUGCCUACUAUCCCUUGGAUUUCGCUCUUCCGAGCAUUUUUUAUCCUCCGACCCCACCCUAAAGCCCGAGGGUGGUGGUACUUUAAUCCUUGGAAGGGGCUUUCUUUCAUCACCGGUCUACCAUCGUCCAUUCAUGGAUGGAAGAACCAAUUCUUUUUUGUCUCUUCUUCUAUUCCUUGGGGGUUCCCUGCCCAUUGGGGGGACCCCCGAACCAAGCCGAACGAGAACAGUCGGGUGGAAGCCGGGGACCGGGAAGACUUCCACCGCUUGAAAGAUAUUUUGGUGCCGAAGCAGAGGGAGCUCGUCACCGAGCAUGCCCUGUACGACGUCGGUCUCAGUCCGAUCCCUCGCUUAGGUUCGCUUUCUGUUUUCCC
Molecule: long non-coding RNA, 18482 nt
Filed under: Elaeis guineensis (African oil palm)
Lineage: Eukaryota; Viridiplantae; Streptophyta; Magnoliopsida; Arecales; Arecaceae
Description: long non-coding RNA (EGUI_LNC001025)
Source: RNAcentral